CUUCCACACAGCUCUCCUGCCAGCCAUGGACGGUGUGGACAGUAAUCUGGGCUGACAUCCACCCAGCUAUGGUAAGGCCUCAGGUUCACUGUGGUCUCUAGCUUCCCUGAUAGCACGCCUGCUCUCAGACUCUGGCCACAGUGGACUUACUUUCACAAAGUAUACAGAGAGGGUAGCAUUGGACAUCUUAGUCUCCCCAAAAGUCCGAAUGUUGAAGGCUGCAAUUCUCAGAGUCCCAGCCAACUGCAGCAGGUUGACCAAGGUGAGCAGUGUUCCCAUUAGCCCUGUGUACCGCAUCCUGUGAGAUUGGAUGGUCAGGACAAAGAAGCAGUGAAGCUCCCAUCCCCAUCAAAGACUAAAGCCUAGCUUGUGCUGAACCAGUGGGAGGCCCUCAGUCCUUCCCCUGUACUUACCUGAAAGCCAAUCUGAGACGGCUGCAGCAGUCAGAACAGACCUGCUCUGUUUGUAUGAUGAGCCCCCGAGUCUGCACUGGAACUGGAUGAACAAGAUGCUGUCUCUACCAUGCCGAACAUCAACAGUAGGACCAGGAGCACACUCUGGAGGUACAAGAACCAGGAAGGUAGAAGCAGCUGAGUGCUUCUGGAGUUUUCAGUCAGAUCAACAAGGAAGUAUGUGCUGACAGCCAGUGACCAUAAGGAACACUGGCCACUUUUACGGAUCAGGUGAGCUUUUUAAAGGUCAGCUCUGAUUAUUUACAAUGUUCUCUUUAAAUUACUCUUGUCACAGAUACCAAAUGGGGAAGUAACGAAUAGCAAUAGAUUAUUAAAGUGUGAGCCAAGUCAAAGGAUAUGG
RNAcentral lists this long non-coding RNA (813 nucleotides) under Mus spretus (western wild mouse). Its description in RNAcentral is "lncRNA (ENSMSPG00010017605.1)". The record is from RNAcentral. Lineage: Eukaryota; Metazoa; Chordata; Mammalia; Rodentia; Muridae.